Molecule: ribosomal RNA, 256 nt
Filed under: uncultured bacterium
Lineage: Bacteria
Description: partial 16S ribosomal RNA
Rfam family: Bacterial small subunit ribosomal RNA
Source: RNAcentral
UACGGAGGGAGCUAGCGUUGUUCGGAAUUACUGGGCGUAAAGCGCACGUAGGCGGCUUUGUAAGUUAGAGGUGAAAGCCCGGGGCUCAACCCCGGAAAUUGCCUUUAAGACUGCAUCGCUUGAAUCCGGGAGAGGUGAGUGGAAUUCCGGAGUGUAGAGGUGAAAUUCGUAAGAUAUUCGGAAGAACACCAGUGGCGAAGGCGGCUCACUGGACCGGUAUUGACGCUGAGGUGCGAAAGCGUGGGGAGCAAACAGG